CAUAAGCGCACAGUACCGCAUGGUACAGUGUGAAAAACUCCGGUGGUGUGAGAUGGACCCGCGUCUGAUUAGGUAGUUGGUGGGGUAACGGCCUACCAAGCCGACGAUCAGUAGCCGACCUGAGAGGGUGACCGGCCACAUUGGGACUGAGACACGGCCCAAACUCCUACGGGAGGCAGCAGUGGGGAAUAUUGCACAAUGGGGGAAACCCUGAUGCAGCGACGCCGCGUGAGCGAAGAAGUAUUUCGGUAUGUAAAGCUCUAUCAGCAGGGAAGAAAAUGACGGUACCUGACUAAGAAGCCCCGGCUAACUACGUGCCAGCAGCCGCGGUAAUACGUAGGGGGCAAGCGUUAUCCGGAUUUACUGGGUGUAAAGGGAGCGUAGACGGCAUGGCAAGCCAGAUGUGAAAGCCCGGGGCUCAACCCCGGGACUGCAUUUGGAACUGUCAGGCUAGAGUGUCGGAGAGGUAAGCGGAAUUCCUAGUGUAGCGGUGAAAUGCGUAGAUAUUAGGAGGAACACCAGUGGCGAAGGCGGCUUACUGGACGGUAACUGACGUUGAGGCUCGAAAGCGUGGGGAGCAAACAGGAUUAGAUACCCUGGUAGUCCAUGCCGUAAACGAUGAGUGCUAGGUGUUGGAGGGUUUCCGCCCUUCAGUGCCGCAGCUAACGCAUUAAGCACUCCGCCUGGGGAGUACGACCGCAAGGUUGAAACUCAAAGGAAUUGACGGGGGCCCGCACAAGCGGUGGAGCAUGUGGUUUAAUUCGAAGCAACGCGAAGAACCUUACCAGGUCUUGACAUCCUUUGACCACUCUAGAGAUAGAGCUUUCCCUUCGGGGACAAAGUGACAGGUGGUGCAUGGUUGUCGUCAGCUCGUGUCGUGAGAUGUUGGGUUAAGUCCCGCAACGAGCGCAACCCUUAUUACUAGUUGCCAGCAUUUAGUUGGGCACUCUAGUGAGACUGCCGGUGACAAACCGGAGGAAGGUGGGGACGACGUCAAAUCAUCAUGCCCCUUAUGACCUGGGCUACACACGUGCUACAAUGGAUGGUACAACGAGUUGCGAGACCGCGAGGUUUAGCUAAUCUCUUAAAACCAUUCUCAGUUCGGAUUGUAGGCUGCAACUCGCCUACAUGAAGCCGGAAUAGCUAGUAAUCGCGGAUCAGCAUGCCGCGGUGA
RNAcentral lists this ribosomal RNA (1174 nucleotides) under uncultured bacterium. RNAcentral describes it as "bacterial SSU rRNA". It matches the Rfam family "Bacterial small subunit ribosomal RNA", at positions 172 to 1365 of the family's 1533-position model. The record is from RNAcentral.